CUUGCACGCUGGCGGCAUGCUUUACACAUGCAAGUCGAACGGCAGCGCGGGCUUCGGCCUGGCGGCGAGUGGCGAACGGGUGAGUAAUGCAUCGGAACGUGCCCAGUAGUGGGGGAUAGUCCGGCGAAAGACGGAUUACUACUGCAUACGACCUGAGGGUGAAAGCGGGGGACCGUAAGGCCUCGCGCUAUUGGAGCGGCCGAUGUCGGAUUAGCUAGUUGGUGGGGUAAAGGCUUACCAAGGCGACGAUCCGUAGCUGGUCUGAGAGGACGAGCAGCCACACUGGGACUGAGACACGGCACAGACUCCUACGGGAGGCAGCAGUGGCGAAUGUUGGACAAAGGGGGCAACCCUGAUCCAGCCAUGCCGCGUGCGGGAAGAAGGCCUGCGGGUGGUAAACCGCUUUUGUUCGGGAAGAAAUCCUCUGGGCUAAUACCCCGGGGGGAUGACGGUACCGGAAGAAUAAGCACCGGCGAAUUACGU
RNAcentral lists this ribosomal RNA (483 nucleotides) under uncultured bacterium. Its description in RNAcentral is "partial 16S ribosomal RNA". It matches the Rfam family "Bacterial small subunit ribosomal RNA", at positions 29 to 506 of the family's 1533-position model. The record is from RNAcentral.